Long non-coding RNA from Capsicum annuum, 802 nucleotides. RefSeq lists it as uncharacterized. The transcript has 2 exons. NCBI's taxonomy places the organism in Eukaryota, Viridiplantae, Streptophyta, Magnoliopsida, Solanales, Solanaceae. The record is from RefSeq and is a predicted model, not a curated record.
GUCAUCGCUUAUCCUUGAUCAAAUAGAAACAGGCGUGUGUUUUCAUGUCCUCCUUACACUGGGAGAGUAUUUCUAUGAAUCGGGAUUUACCUAGCCUAGAAAAAACAACAAAGACAAUAGAAAGAAUAAAGUAUUCUAUUCAAUACUUGCCUAUCCGAGUAUUGAGAGAGUUCGGCACAAAUUUAAAAACAGAUUUGCUUCAAGAGAUUCAAAAACAGAUUUGCUUCAAACUAUUUGCUCACGCUUCAAAAGAUUCAAUAUGCCUCCUUUUACCUCCUUUAGCACUAUUUUGAGUCAAAAGAAAUUUGAGAGUUCAUAAUUUUGUUGAGAAAAAAAUCUACUUCUAAGUCGAAAGGUGGAAUGAAGAAGAUAAAGACUCACAAUGCUAAGAACGUUGUAGCUUUAACUAGCGAUGUGAAAAAGCUUAACAGCAAGUGUUUUCAUUGCAAGAUGUUAGUCCAUUGGAAGACACAUUAUCGAGUUUUCCUAGCCAAGCAGAAAAACAAGCUAGAUUGACUUACACUUGUCAUUGAAACAUGUUUAGCGAUUGUUCUACCACAUCAUGGUAUGUAGUUUUGGGACACUGGUCACAUUUGCACUACUUUACAGUGGUUUCAAGAAAUGUGCAAGUUGAAUAAAGGUGAAGUUAAUGUUCUUCAAGCUAACGGUUCAACAGAUCCAACUUAUCAUUAGGAAAUAUUAGUAUUUCAUUCAGUAAUGCUAUAUUUUUAAUUUUAAAAUAUGCAUUAUAUGCACCUGCUAUUAAAAGAGAUUUGAUUUCAGUUUCUAAAGCUUUAAGAUA